GUGAGGGCCAACCUGCACUUGGUAGUGGCCAUGUCCCCCAUAGGCGACACCUUCAGGACCAGGCUCAGGAUGUUCCCCUCCCUCAUUAACUGCUGCACUAUAGACUGGUUUACUGCAUGGCCUGAUGAUGCCUUGGAGAUGGUGGCCACAUCACUGCUGCAGGAAACUAAACUGGAGGCAUCAUUGUUGGCUCACUGUGUCACUGUCUGCAAGUAUUUCCACCACAGCAUUGAUGACCUUGCCCACAGGUUCUAUGAGCAGCUGCGGCGGAGGUACUAUGUGACAUUGUGACACCCACCUCCUACCUGGAGCUCGUGUUCACCUUCAAGCAGCUCCUCCUUAAGAAGCGCUCAGAGAUCCUCACACUACGGGACAGGUAUGUGACAGGUCUGGAGAAACUGAAAGAGGCCAAGCUGUUGAUCACUGAACUGCAAGAAGAGCUAAAGCUGCUGCAGCCCCGCCUAGUGGAGACCUCUGCCAACACGGAGGCACUUAUGAUC
Molecule: long non-coding RNA, 500 nt
Organism: Homarus americanus (American lobster)
Lineage: Eukaryota; Metazoa; Arthropoda; Malacostraca; Decapoda; Nephropidae
Exons: 4
Source: RefSeq, a predicted model, not a curated record